RNAcentral lists this ribosomal RNA (467 nucleotides) under uncultured bacterium. RNAcentral's name for it is "bacterial SSU rRNA". It matches the Rfam family "Bacterial small subunit ribosomal RNA", at positions 28 to 493 of the family's 1533-position model. The record is from RNAcentral.
GAUGAACGCUGGCGGCGUGCUUAACACAUGCAAGUCGAACGAAGCACUUUAUUUGAUUUCCUUCGGGACUGAUUAUUUUGUGACUGAGUGGCGGACGGGUGAGUAACGCGUGGGUAACCUGCCUUGUACAGGGGGAUAACAGUUGGAAACGGCUGCUAAUACCGCAUAAGCGCACGGCAUCGCAUGAUGCAGUGUGAAAAACUCCGGUGGUAUAAGAUGGACCCGCGUUGGAUUAGCUAGUUGGUGGGGUAACGGCCCACCAAGGCGACGAUCCAUAGCCGACCUGAGAGGGUGACCGGCCACAUUGGGACUGAGACACGGCCCAAACUCCUACGGGAGGCAGCAGUGGGGAAUAUUGCACAAUGGGCGAAAGCCUGAUGCAGCGACGCCGCGUGAGCGAAGAAGUAUUUCGGUAUGUAAAGCUCUAUCAGCAGGGAAGAUAAUGACGGUACCUGACUAAGAAGCAC